RNAcentral lists this long non-coding RNA (212 nucleotides) under Mytilus galloprovincialis (Mediterranean mussel). Lineage: Eukaryota; Metazoa; Mollusca; Bivalvia; Mytilida; Mytilidae. The record is from RNAcentral.
UUACAUCCAGUCUGCAGUUAAAGUUUUUAAAACAUUUAUUAGAUUCAUAAACUAUCCUGGAUUUUUACCAAACUUGGACAGAAGCUUCUUACAAUCAAAAGAUAGUAUCAAGGGGAAUAUUUUUAUUGAUUUUUUCCCUCAAUUUUGUUGAGCCUGCAAUUUACAGCAAAAGUAGGCGAGACACUGGGUUCUGCGGAACCCUUACAAAUUUU